Molecule: long non-coding RNA, 3730 nt
Organism: Solenopsis invicta (red fire ant)
Lineage: Eukaryota; Metazoa; Arthropoda; Insecta; Hymenoptera; Formicidae
Exons: 4
Source: RefSeq, a predicted model, not a curated record
AUAUACGCACUUCUUCUAUAUCAUUUGUUCGUGUAUCUUUAUUCUGUAAUUUACUGAUGAGAAACACAUUUGCAGCAUAUGAAACUUUCUUUUUGGUCACGAACAAUGGCAAGUUGGUAAAUUCGUGAACAAUAUAGGUACAACCGGAAAAUUUUUAACAAGUCCCAGUAGUUACUAAAAAAAAGCCUUGCGGCGCUAUUAACCGCACUUUAGGCCAAGUCGAGCCUUUGAACCCGGAUUACCAACGAGCGGUCAGCGGAAAAGGGUUAUUUUGUGCGUUUUACUAUCGAGGCACGUCAAGGUUGAGACACCACCGUAGCAAAUGUAGCAAAUAGCAACCCUUCCUUCCGUACAUUCAGUCCAAGGAGAUCCCCCUCGGUCUUUAUCUCGCAAAGGAUUUUAACUACUGCCCACCAUCCGGCAUUCAAAAUUACAUAGUACCCUUUCUUUACACAGAUACGAACGAGACAAAAAAAGAGACUGUAUAACGCUUCGAUUUUUUUACGAUAAAGGGACGCAAGGUGAUGCGUAUCCUAUUUGCUGACGGAGCUUCUGCAUAGGUCGCAAACAUGAGGCCUUGACGUGUCGUAAAGGGGUAAUCAGCCUUCCUCCGGCCGAACCUUGACUGUAAUGCAUGUCUCUAGCAUGUCUCAUCCUGUGUUGUAAGUGCGUGUGUCAACCGGUGUGUCAGUGUUUGAGUAGGUAUGCGUGUCGCGUCGCUGCGCUUCUGUCAUUCUACCGUUGAAGUCUGUCUAAGAAGCAUGGAUAAACCGAUGCCUCGUGACGGAAUCGCGUACCGCGUAUUGUCAUCUGUUUAAACGAACCUGCGAUAUUGCGAGAGGUGUGCAAUUUACAUCAAUCAUCGGCGAAUGCGGUGAUGUUCAGUGAAUUGUGCAGUUAGUGCAUCGAUCAAUAGCCAAUGAACUUCGUCUCCAGCUGGUCUCUAAUCAGCGACGUAGCUACCACAUUCAGCGACAUACUUAGUACAUACUUUUCUCAAGAAAUAGCGUGCGAAAGAUUCGUCUUGGAGCACGCGACCCGUUUCUCCCGAUUUACGAGCAAACUACUCGUCGAAUUAAUAAUUUUCGCCACCGCGGGGUUUCUGUAGCAAACUCACGAGGUCGUAACCUUACCUGUACGCUAGACAAAGAAAGAGCUGAAGAGGCAGCUGCGGACGCGAGUAAAGGACGGAGAAGGAAGGAAAGUGAGAUGAAACCACAGGGGCAGCUUGCGAUACGUUCGUAUCCUCUCUCUUUCUCUCUUUCACGUAAUAGAGCUUUGCCCAAUAAAAACGUCACGAAUUCAGGGGCGAAGAGUUUCUUGGUGAACACCGUCUGGUGGCGCCAGGAUACGUUCCCAAUCCACAGGGAGUUGCGUAAAGCUCACUGGCUCGCUGUCACACGCAAGAAGUCAGCGAGAGUGGUGGGGAGACUAUGGGAUGAGACGAUAUCGCACGCACACACAGAGACGCGGCGAAAUCAAAUCGACGCCAGCGCGUUUCGAAGGAAGGGCGAGAAAGCGGCAGGACUAAGCGUCGAGAAAAACAGAGAGACUAUCGUGACAAGACAGUCAAAGAGAGAAGGAAGUAACCGGAGACUAAGAGAGGGAAAGAGAAGUCUGCGAGAGAAAGAGAGAAAGAUGAAUAGGGAGUCCGUAGGGUGGAUGAAGAAAACGUAAGACAGACAGAGUAAGAAGAUAACAGAGAAGGGUUGAUCGAUCCUGAUAAGAACGAAAAAGAUGGAACAAUCCCGAGAGAAGCAGAAGGUGACGGAGGAAACAGAGACAAUGAACGUGGAAGAGAAAGAGACAAAUACAGAGAAAGAGAGAAAUAAAUAGGGUGGGCGUGAGAGAGAAAGGGAAGUUGCUUGGAAGCGACUAGAGAGACAAAGAACGGAAGGCUGGCAAGAGGGAGGAAGGAAGGUAGAGAGAGUCAGGAAGGGAAAGAGAGACGGAGCGAGAGGGGUUGGUCGACCCUGCGCGUUAUCAAGAGCCGCCCCUCCCGGUCGCCCCUAUAUCCACCCCGACUUUAUAUACCCCCCGUGCACCCAAAGAGUACAUGCAUUCGUGUGUGCGGUGGUGAAAACCCACACAACGUUGACGUAGCUCGUCCCUAGACGUAGCCGGGCGCAGAGCGACGCCGCAUGGCGUCGGCGUCGCGAGGUCGUCCCCGGCGCUAAACUCUCUAACGAUGGCAUCGUCGGCCAACCGCCGCCAAAGGAAGCCGCUUCUCCGUGGCUCGUAACACGUUCCUGGACGACCGGGAUGCCUGGACGGAUCGGAGCACCCGAAGGACCAGACACGAAGAGACGAAGAGACCCGAUAUCCGCGAGUGACGUGCAACGCCGAAGCGCCGCGACGCCGACAGUCGUCCGCGGGACGCGUCACGGUCGUCUCGCUGGAGACCGAGGGCGCCUAUUCCAGCUGCAUCAGCCUCCAGUUGGCCUCUGACGUAUGAACGGCACACGUCUCUAAUCAUCCCGUCUCAUCUUCCUGCGUCAGCUUUUCUUCAUUUUUUUACUCCCCAGCCGUGCGCAUUCUUUCCCAUUCUAUCCGUACCUCGUUCACUACGCCUCCCCCAUUUUCGUCUCGUCUCGUCUCGUCUCGACUCGUUCGUUCUCGAGUUCAUCUCUCUUUCUCCUCGAUUGCAUCGUGCACUCUGUCCUUCGCAUCGAGCCACGACUCAGCGAAUCGGUGAACGAAACGGAGCGCAUCCACCGUGAACGUCACUCGUAGCAUGUAGACCGAGCGGAACUGUCAUUCGUAUGUCGCGAAGACGGGAUCGGAGUGCCUUCUGUGAUUGAUAACCCUGAAUGCUCCUUCGGACUCCUCAGUGUGCGGUGCUCGACAUAUAUCGGAAAAGGAUCCUACGUCAGAUUUCACAUAUCGGUUGAUUUCAGUUGGCGGCGAUGCUCGAACGGGAGAUCUACGUAAUGACGAUGCCUCAAAAAUUAAUUCGACCGCAGAUUGAAAGACCCAGAGAAGGGAUGGAAACGUAACAAAUAGUAACAUGAGGCGAACUCAAGAUGGCCAUGAAAAAUGAAGCGCGUAUGGACUUCCACUGUGUAUUAAGCAAUCACUCCAAUUGGAUUGCUACAAGACCACUUGCACCCCGCACGAGUCAACAACAUUUAAUAAGCAUCUUGUCUUAUAUCUAACUUGAAUUAGGAUUCGCCAACAAUCGAGAUUGUUUGCGGAAUGGAAGAUAUUAAUGAUCGAGACCGUCUGCCGCUUCAUGCCAGCAAUUCCAAAGAAUAUAAUAUUAGUCUACACUACGCGAUGCCAAACUGCCGUCGAUCAAGUUCUGCAUCCUUGGCAAGGGCAGCCACCGGCGAGGCGUUAUCCGAUGAGGAAUGUGAAACCCCCUGUACGUAUACUGAAUGUAUCCUGAGUGUAUUCCUGUCCGGUAUACCUUCAGUAUACGUAACAGGAGGCUACACCGUACAACGUUGGACUUCUUCAUCAGCGCACUUCCUUAAUUAUAAAUAAUCUUCGUGCUAUAAAAUAUAGAAUCUUAAGAAGAUAGAGAGAAUAAUAGAAAUAGGAACACUUAGAAUAAUAAGAUAUUUCAUUUACUUAAGAUGUCGUAAUCCUUGAACAUAAUUUCUUGUUUGUUUUACAUUCUCUCUAAUGUAAUAAAUUUGCUAGAUAUGUUUGUAUAUUGAUAUUUGUAUGUUUAUUAACUGUAUAAAGUGUAUCAAUAAAAGAAUUAUAAUUAUAAUAUUAAUACACA